RNAcentral lists this ribosomal RNA (404 nucleotides) under uncultured bacterium. Its description in RNAcentral is "bacterial SSU rRNA". It matches the Rfam family "Bacterial small subunit ribosomal RNA", at positions 335 to 731 of the family's 1533-position model. The record is from RNAcentral.
ACUCCUACGGGAGGCAGCAGUAGGAAUUUUCCGCAAUGGACGAAAGUCUGACGGAGCAAUGCCGCGUGAGUGAUGAAGGUUUUCGAAUCGUAAAGCUCUGUUGUAAGGGAAGAAUAGCAAGAAUAGGAAAUGAUUCUUGUCUGACGGUACCUUACCAGAAAGCCACGGCUAACUCCGUGCCAGCAGCCGCGGUAAUACGGAGGGUGCGAGCGUUAAUCGGAAUUACUGGGCGUAAAGCGCAUGCAGGCGGCCUGUUAAGUCAGAUGUGAAAGCCCGGGGCUUAACCUCGGAAUUGCAUUUGAAACUGGCAGGCUAGAGUCUUGUAGAGGGGGUGAGAAUUGUCAGGUGUAGCGGUGAAAUGCGUAGAGAUCUGAAGGAAUACCAGUGGCGAAGGCGGCCCCCUC